UGAGGAAUAUUGGUCAAUGGGCGAGAGCCUGAACCAGCCAAGUAGCGUGCAGGAUGACGGCCCUCCGGGUUGUAAACUGCUUUUAGUUGGGAAUAAAAAAAGGGACUUGUCCCUUCUUGUAUGUACCUUCAGAAAAAGGACCGGCUAAUUCCGUGCCAGCAGCCGCGGUAAUACGGAAGGUCCAGGCGUUAUCCGGAUUUAUUGGGUUUAAAGGGAGCGUAGGCGGAUUGUUAAGUCAGCGGUUAAAGGGUGUGGCUCAACCAUGCAUUGCCGUUGAAACUGGCGAUCUUGAGUGCAGACAGGGAUGCCGGAAUUCGUGGUGUAGCGGUGAAAUGCUUAGAUAUCACGAAGAACUCCGAUCGCGAAGGCAGGUGUCCGGGCUGCAACUGACGCUGAGGCUCGAAAGUGUGGGUAUCAAACAGGAUUAGAUACCCUGGUAGUCCACACAGUAAACGAUGUAUACUCGCGGUUUGCGAUAGACAGUAAGCCGCCAGCGAAAGCAUUAAGUAUACCACCUGGGGAGUACGCCGGCAACGGU
Molecule: ribosomal RNA, 538 nt
Filed under: uncultured bacterium
Lineage: Bacteria
Description: bacterial SSU rRNA
Rfam family: Bacterial small subunit ribosomal RNA
Source: RNAcentral